UCAAAAAUUUUUAAAACCCGAAAAUAAGUAGAUCUACUUUAAAAAUAAUUUUAGUUUACUCUAUUAAAUAGUAUUAUAAUUAAAUAUUUAAAGUUAGGCGUGAAACAUGUUCAAUUCUUAUGAUAUCUGGAUGAUAGUUAAAUACAUUUAGUGUAGAGUAAGUAGUUUAGUUUUUAAGUGUUAAGAUUUUUAAACUUAUGAAAGAUGCUCUAACAUUUUUAAAUUUUAAGAUUAUCCUCUUUACUGACUUUUAAAAUUAUAAUUUUUAUGAGAAAUUUUUUCCCCGAGUAACUAUCAAAUUAUUUUAACUCAUAAAUAUUUAUAUUCUGUUUAAAUUAGUAAUUAUUUUAAUUUGAGGAAAGGAACUCGGCAAAAAUUUUUCUCGACUGUUUAACAAAAACAUAGCUUUAAGAAUUUUAUUUAAGGUGAAUUCUGCUCGGUGAGAUUAUUUAACGGCCGCAGUACUUUGACUGUGCUAAGGUAGCAUAAUAAAUUGGCCUUUAAAUGGGGUCUGGUAUGAAUGAAUAUUCGAGAAAAAACUGUCUUUUUUAUAACUUUUGUUAAUUUACUUAAUAAGGUGAAAAUACCUUCAUAGAUUAUAUUA
This 604-nucleotide ribosomal RNA is filed under the name Ouagapia sp. AM-2015. RNAcentral's name for it is "partial 16S ribosomal RNA". The stretch from base 372 to 539 matches the Rfam family "Bacterial large subunit ribosomal RNA", at positions 1785 to 2014 of the family's 2925-position model. The record is from RNAcentral. Lineage: Eukaryota; Metazoa; Mollusca; Gastropoda; Stylommatophora; Paryphantidae.